GAUGAAGAACGCAGCGAAAUGCGAUACGUAAUGUGAAUUGCAGAAUUCAGUGAAUCAUCGAAUCUUUGAACGCAUAUUGCGCUCUCUGGUAUUCCGGAGAGCAUGCUUGUUUGAGUAUCAGUAAACACCUCAACUUCCAUAUCUUUUUUGAAAUGGGAGUUGGACUUGAGUGAUCCCAACGCUUUUCCUCACCGAAAAGUGGCGGGUUACUUGAAAUGCAGGUGCAGCUGGACUUUUCUCUGAGCUAUAAGCAUAUCUAUUUAGUCUGCCUAAAAAACAGAUUAUUACCUUUGCUGCAGCUAACAUAAAGGAGAUUAGUUCUUGUGCUGACUGAUGCAGGAUUCACAAAGACGGCUUCGGCCGACUUUGUAAACUCGAUCACAAAUCAAGUAAGACUACCCGCUGAACUUAAGCAUAUCAAUAAGCGGAGGA
This 432-nucleotide unclassified non-coding RNA is filed under the name soil metagenome. RNAcentral's name for it is "partial contains 5.8S ribosomal RNA, internal transcribed spacer 2, and large subunit ribosomal RNA". The stretch from base 1 to 120 matches the Rfam family "5.8S ribosomal RNA", at positions 35 to 154 of the family's 154-position model. The record is from RNAcentral.